RNAcentral lists this ribosomal RNA (468 nucleotides) under uncultured bacterium. RNAcentral describes it as "partial 16S ribosomal RNA". It matches the Rfam family "Bacterial small subunit ribosomal RNA", at positions 28 to 507 of the family's 1533-position model. The record is from RNAcentral.
GACGAACGCUGGCGGCGUGCUUAACACAUGCAAGUCGAACGGAAAGGCCCGGCUUUUGUGGGGUGCUCGAGUGGCGAACGGGUGAGUAACACGUGAGUAACCUGCCCUUGACUUUGGGAUAACUUCAGGAAACUGGGGCUAAUACCGGAUAGGAGCUCCUGCUGCAUGGUGGGGGUUGGAAAGUUUCGGCUGUUGGGGAUGGACUCGCGGCUUAUCAGCUUGUUGGUGGGGUAGUGGCUUACCAAGGCUUUGACGGGUAGCCGGCCUGAGAGGGUGACCGGCCACCUUGGGCCUGCGGUACGGCCCAGACUCCUACGGGCGGCAGCAGUGGGGAAUCUUGCACAGUGGGCGGACGCCUGAUACAGAAACGCCGCGUGCGGAAUGACGGCCUUCGGGUUGUGAACCGCUUUCGCCUGUGACGAAGCGUGCGUGACGGUAAUGGGUAAAGAAGCACCGGCUAACUACGUG